UACGGAGGGUGCGAGCGUUAAUCGGAAUUACUGGGCGUAAAGCGUGCGCAGGCGGUUCGUUGUGUCGGCGGUGAAAGCCCCGGGCUUAACCUGGGAAUGGCCGUUGAAACUGGCGAACUGGAGUGUGGCAGAGGGGGGUGGAAUUCCGCGUGUAGCAGUGAAAUGCGUAGAGAUGCGGAGGAACACCGAUGGCGAAGGCAGCCCCCUGGGCUAACACUGACGCUCAGGCACGAAAGCGUGGGGAGCAAACAGG
Molecule: ribosomal RNA, 253 nt
Filed under: uncultured bacterium
Lineage: Bacteria
Description: partial 16S ribosomal RNA
Rfam family: Bacterial small subunit ribosomal RNA
Source: RNAcentral